This 376-nucleotide ribosomal RNA is filed under the name uncultured bacterium. RNAcentral describes it as "bacterial SSU rRNA". It matches the Rfam family "Bacterial small subunit ribosomal RNA", at positions 918 to 1297 of the family's 1533-position model. The record is from RNAcentral.
GGCCCGCACAAGCGGUGGAGUAUGUGGUUUAAUUCGAUGCAACGCGAAGAACCUUACCAGGGUUUGACAUCCUGCGAAUCUCUUGGAAACGAGAGAGUGCCUUCGGGAGCGCAGUGACAGGUGGUGCAUGGCUGUCGUCAGCUCGUGUCGUGAGAUGUUGGGUUAAGUCCCGCAACGAGCGCAACCCACGUCUUUAGUUGCCAGCAUUUAGUUGGGCACUCUAGAGAGACCGCCGGUGAUAAACCGGAGAAGGUGUGGAUGACGUCAAGUCAUCAUGCCCCUUACAUCUGGGCUACACACGUACUACAAUGCUACGGACAAAGAGCAGCAAGUUCGCGAGGACAAGCAAAUCUCAUAAACCGUGGCUCAGUUCAGA